AAAGGUCUGUAACAAUGUGAUAUGCAUUAUGUUGUUAUUAUGAUUGUUUGUACGCGAUAAUGACUUGGAUCGAGAUUGCUUUGGUAUCCACCGGUUUCAUUGCGGCCUCUAUCCAUUUGUAUUCAUCAUCAAUGUGACGAUUCGGUUUCGACGGUGGAAUUUCCUGUGAGUCAAUACCGUUAGCUAUCAGUUUGAGACUGUGUCACUAUCAUAUUCUUUGGUUGUGUUGGUUUUUUCGACGGUGGAAUUUCCUGUGAGUCAAUACCGUUAGCUAUCAGUUUGAGACUGUGUCACUAUCAUAUUCUUUGGUUGUGUUGGUUGAAAUUUUG
Molecule: long non-coding RNA, 329 nt
Filed under: Lathyrus oleraceus (garden pea)
Lineage: Eukaryota; Viridiplantae; Streptophyta; Magnoliopsida; Fabales; Fabaceae
Description: Pisum sativum (pea) long non-coding RNA (PSAT_LNC023406)
Source: RNAcentral